Molecule: non-coding RNA, 152 nt
Filed under: Homo sapiens (human)
Lineage: Eukaryota; Metazoa; Chordata; Mammalia; Primates; Hominidae
Source: Rfam by way of RNAcentral
GCUGGGCAUGGUGCUGUGUGCCUGUAAUCCAGCUACUCUGGAGGCAGAGGCAGGAGAAUCGCUUGAACCCAGGAGGCGGAGGCUGCAGUGAGAGCCUGCAAGAUCAUGCCACUGCACUCCAGCCUGAGUGACAGAGUGAGACUCUGUCUCAA